AAGGGUAUAGCUCAGUGGUAGAGCAUGUGUUUAGCAUGCACGAGGUCCUGGGUUCAAUCCCCAGUGCCUCCA
Molecule: transfer RNA, 72 nt
Filed under: Camelus bactrianus (Bactrian camel)
Lineage: Eukaryota; Metazoa; Chordata; Mammalia; Artiodactyla; Camelidae
Also listed under: 2 other names
Rfam family: tRNA
About the family: Transfer RNA (tRNA) molecules are approximately 80 nucleotides in length. Their secondary structure includes four short double-helical elements and three loops (D, anti-codon, and T loops). Further hydrogen bonds mediate the characteristic L-shaped molecular structure. tRNAs have two regions of fundamental functional importance: the anti-codon, which is responsible for specific mRNA codon recognition, and the 3' end, to which the tRNAs corresponding amino acid is attached (by aminoacyl-tRNA synthetases). tRNAs cope with the degeneracy of the genetic code in two manners: having more than one tRNA (with a specific anti-codon) for a particular amino acid; and 'wobble' base-pairing, i.e. permitting non-standard base-pairing at the 3rd anti-codon position.
Source: Rfam by way of RNAcentral